GCGAUUUCUGUGACUUCUGCGAUUUCUGUGACUCCUGCGAUUUCUGCGACUUACCACCGUAUGAAAAAGCUACAUCUGUCCACACAGAAAAUUGCAUCUCAACAAACCUGUCAUUGGUACCCGAACUACAUUUCAGUCACUCAGUAAAGUGAUAACUCAAAAUAUCAUUGUCAGCAGAUCUGGAGAAAUUGCCACUGCGUCUUUAGACCGUUUUCGUCAGACGAGAGACACAGUUCUGGUUGCUGUAUGUAUCUAUCCACAACAAGGCUGUUGGGAGAGACUCGUGAAGAUUCAAGAGAGCUCUUAGAGGAUUUACGGUUUAAAAGUGACAUUAUUGCGAAAUAAGUGUGCAGAUGAG
This is a long non-coding RNA of Schistocerca cancellata (South American locust), 358 nucleotides long. RefSeq lists it as uncharacterized. The record is from RefSeq and is a predicted model, not a curated record. The transcript is spliced from 3 exons. Lineage: Eukaryota; Metazoa; Arthropoda; Insecta; Orthoptera; Acrididae.